Molecule: ribosomal RNA, 631 nt
Filed under: uncultured bacterium
Lineage: Bacteria
Description: bacterial SSU rRNA
Rfam family: Bacterial small subunit ribosomal RNA
Source: RNAcentral
CCUACGGGAGGCAGCAGUGGGGAAUUUUGGACAAUGGGCGCAAGCCUGAUCCAGCCAUGCCGCGUGAGUGAAGAAGGCCUUCGGGUUGUAAAGCUCUUUCGGCAGGAACGAAAUGGUUCGUGUUAAUACCACGGACUGAUGACGGUACCUGAAGAAGAAGCACCGGCUAACUACGUGCCAGCAGCCGCGGUAAUACGUAGGGUGCAGGCGUUAAUCGGAAUUACUGGGCGUAAAGCGUGCGCAGGCGGUUUCUUAAGUCAGAUGUGAAAGCCCCGGGCUUAACCUGGGAACUGCGUUUGAAACUGGGAGACUUGAGUGUGGCAGAGGGGGGUGGAAUUCCACGUGUAGCAGUGAAAUGCGUAGAUAUGUGGAGGAACACCGAUGGCGAAGGCAGCCCCCUGGGUUAACACUGACGCUCAUGCACGAAAGCGUGGGGAGCAAACAGGAUUAGAUACCCUGGUAGUCCACGCCCUAAACUAUGUCAACUGGUUGUCGGGGGAUUGAUUCCCUUGGUAACGAAGCUAACGCGUGAAGUUGACCGCCUGGGGAAUACGGCCGCAAAGGGUUUAAAAACCUCAAAAGUAGUAGUACGGACGCGAGAGACGCGACGACGACGACGACGGAGGAGGAG